AAUGAACGUUGGCGGCGUGGAUUAGGCAUGCAAGUCGAGCGAGAACCCGCAAGGGGGACAGCGGCGAACGGGGUAGGACAACGUAGGUAACGUACCCUCGGGGCGAGGACAGCCACGGGAAACUGUGGGUAAUACUCGAUAAACUUCCCAAUCAUUAUGGAAGGGGAAGCAAUGGGUGUGAUUCCACCUGAGGAGCGGCUUACGCAGUAUCAGCUAGUUGGUGAGGUAACGGCUCACCAAGGCUACGACGCUUAGGGGGUGUGAGAGCAUGGCCCCCACCACUGGCACUGAGACACUGGCCAGACACCUACGGGUGGCUGCAGUCGAGAAUCUUCGGCAAUGGACGCAAGUCUGACCGAGCGACGCCGCGUGCGGGAUGAAGGCCUCGGUUGUAAACCGCUGUCAGAGGGAGUGAAGUAUACGGGAGUUAUCUCCUGUAUUUGACAGAGCCUCAGAGGAAGCACGGCUAAGUUCGUGCCAGCAG
RNAcentral lists this ribosomal RNA (484 nucleotides) under uncultured bacterium. RNAcentral's name for it is "bacterial SSU rRNA". It matches the Rfam family "Bacterial small subunit ribosomal RNA", at positions 29 to 514 of the family's 1533-position model. The record is from RNAcentral.